Molecule: long non-coding RNA, 1000 nt
Organism: Dicentrarchus labrax (European seabass)
Lineage: Eukaryota; Metazoa; Chordata; Actinopteri; Moronidae
Exons: 2
Source: RefSeq, a predicted model, not a curated record
GAAAUGUUACAUUUCAUCUUUGACUGAAAUUACUGCUAAAACAGCAGUAAUAGCAACCAAAUGUACUUAUCUGUACAUCUUUUGAUAGUAUCACUGUCACAUUGUACAAUGACACCAUUGUUCACUUAAUAGAAUGAACAAUGGGUCUAGGAGGUCUAGAGUAUGAUUUUACCAUACAGUCACCUCAUUAUGUCAUGACUUGAACAGUGUUGUAAAUGUCAACCUGGAAAUGACUACUCAUUGACAUUGUUCAGUAAAGUUAAUGUGCGUCACGUUACUAUGUACGUUGCUAACCAAGGCUAUGUCCCUGGGGUGUAUAUCCCAUCAGAGAUGUGCUGGGGACCCAAAACAAAGGCUUUCCCUUUCACACUCUCACUAAGAGCGCAUGUGUGUGUAUGUGUGUGUGUGUGUGUGUGUGUGUGUGUGUGUGUGUGUGUGUGUGUGUGUGAAUGUUUUGGGGCAGAGUGGGCUGGGAGGGCUGCAUUUUCAUUGGAGGCUAAGAAAGAUCAGAAAAUCUCUCCUCAGAGAGAAAAACUGCAGAGACAGCUUGUCACCCUGGUAACCCUGCAUGGUCUCCUGAGCAACUGAGCAACAUCUCUCUCAAACGCUCCCUCCUUCUGUCUCUGUCUCUCCGCUUUGACCACUGAUAGGUCACAGCUGAGGCGUCUGCUUUCCCCAGACACAAGCAACAAAUCUACACAUCAUAGAAAAGCUCUGGGGGACUGAAACUGCAACUAUGAUAUUGCUUUGCUAGACUGACAUUGGCUACAGUAUGUGUCACAGUGCCGUAAAUGCCAUUGAGCAGAGGCCAGCCUUGCUCCACAUCAGAGAGGGCCUGAGAUAAAUAAAAAAAGAGAGAAAACAAAGGCCAUGGCAAUGUUUGCCUGUAUGUAAAUCAUUUGUAUUUGUAUUUGUAUUUGUUUGCAUGACUAGUUCUGGACAAUGCUGUGGUGCUUGUCUUUCUAGGUCACCAAACACAAUAAAACUAAUUUGAAUGUCA